UACGGAGGGAGCUAGCGUUGUUCGGAAUUACUGGGCGUAAAGCGCGCGUAGGCGGCUUUGUAAGUUAGAGGUGAAAGCCCGGGGCUCAACUCCGGAAUUGCCUUUAAGACUGCAUCGCUAGAAUCCGGGAGAGGUGAGUGGAAUUCCGAGUGUAGAGGUGAAAUUCGUAGAUAUUCGGAAGAACACCAGUGGCGAAGGCGGCUCACUGGACCGGUAUUGACGCUGAGGCGCGAAAGCCAGGGGAGCAAACGGG
Molecule: ribosomal RNA, 253 nt
Filed under: uncultured bacterium
Lineage: Bacteria
Description: partial 16S ribosomal RNA
Rfam family: Bacterial small subunit ribosomal RNA
Source: RNAcentral